RNAcentral lists this ribosomal RNA (487 nucleotides) under uncultured bacterium. RNAcentral describes it as "partial 16S ribosomal RNA". It matches the Rfam family "Bacterial small subunit ribosomal RNA", at positions 28 to 507 of the family's 1533-position model. The record is from RNAcentral.
GAUGAACGCUAGCGAUAGGCUUAACACACGCAAGUCGAGGGGCAGCACAAGGUAGCUUGCUAUCUGGGUGGCGACCGGCGCACGGGUGCGUAACGCGUAUGCAACUUGCCCUAUACAGGAGGAUAACCCGUCGAAAGACGGACUAAUACUGCGUAUGCUCACAACUUGGCAUCAAGUGGUGAGGAAAGAAAUUCGGUAUAGGAUAGGCAUGCGUCCCAUUAGCUUGUUGGUGAGGUAACGGCUCACCAAGGCAACGAUGGGUAGGGGAACUGAGAGGUUUAUCCCCCACACUGGUACUGAGACACGGACCAGACUCCUACGGGAGGCAGCAGUGAGGAAUAUUGGUCAAUGGGCGCGAGCCUGAACCAGCCAAGUCGCGUGAAGGAUGACUGUCUUAUGGAUUGUAAACUUCUUUUAUACGGGAAUAACAAGAGUCACGUGUGACUCCCUGCAUGUACCGUAUGAAUAAGCAUCGGCUAACUCCGUG